CCCUUAGAUGUUCUGGGCCGCACGCGCGCUACAAUGAUGAAUUCAACGAGUUUAUAACCUCGGUUGAAAAGCCUGGGUAAUCUUUUGAACUUUCGUCGUGAUGGGGCUAGACCCUUGCAAUUAUUGGUCUCCAACGAGGAAUUCCUAGUAAACGCAAGUCAUCAGCUUGCAUUGAUUACGUCCCUGCCCUUUGUACACACCGCCCGUCGCACCUACCGAUUGAAUGGUCCGGUGAAAUCUUCGGAUUGAGACUUUGAUUUCUUCACGGAAAACGCUGUUUUAAAAAGUUGAUUAAACCUUACCAUUUAGAGGAAGGUGAAGUCGUAACA
This 329-nucleotide ribosomal RNA is filed under the name uncultured eukaryote. Its description in RNAcentral is "partial 18S ribosomal RNA". It matches the Rfam family "Eukaryotic small subunit ribosomal RNA", at positions 1470 to 1796 of the family's 1831-position model. The record is from RNAcentral.